RNAcentral lists this ribosomal RNA (414 nucleotides) under uncultured bacterium. RNAcentral describes it as "bacterial SSU rRNA". It matches the Rfam family "Bacterial small subunit ribosomal RNA", at positions 958 to 1392 of the family's 1533-position model. The record is from RNAcentral.
AACGCGAAGAACCUUACCAACCCUUGACAUGGUUAUCGUAGUUUCCAGAGAUGGAUUAGUCAGUUCGGCUGGAUAACACACAGGUGCUGCAUGGCUGUCGUCAGCUCGUGUCGUGAGAUGUUCGGCCAAGUCCGGCAACGAGCGCAACCCACGUCCCCAGUUGCCAGCAUUCAGUUGGGCACUAUGGGGAAAAGGCCGAUGAUAAGUCGGAGGAAGGUGUGCAUGACGUCAAGUCCUCAUGGCCCUUUCCAAUUGGGGUACACACGGGCUACAAUGGUGGUGACAAUGGGUUAUUCCCCAAAAGCCAUCUCAGUUCGGAUUGGGGUCUGCAACUCGACCCCAUGAAGUCGGAAUCGCUAGUAAUCGCGUAACACCAUGACGCGCUGAAUACAUUCCCGGGUCUUGUACACACCG